UGGGGAAUAUUGGACAAUGGGGGCAACCCUGAUCCAGCCAUGCCGCGUGUGUGAAGAAGGCCUUCGGGUUGUAAAGCACUUUUGUUCGGGAAGAAAUCGGGCGGGCUAAUACCCGGUCCGGAUGACGGUACCGAAAGAAUAAGCACCGGCUAACUUCGUGCCAGCAGCCGCGGUAAUACGAAGGGUGCAAGCGUUACUCGGAAUUACUGGGCGUAAAGCGUGCGUAGGCGGUUCGUUAAGUCUGAUGUGAAAGCCCCGGGCUCAACCUGGGAACGGCAUUGGAUACUGGCGGGCUAGAGUACGGUAGAGGGUGGUGGAAUUCCCGGUGUAGCAGUGAAAUGCGUAGAGAUCGGGAGGAACAUCCGUGGCGAAGGCGGCCACCUGGACCAGUACUGACGCU
Molecule: ribosomal RNA, 400 nt
Filed under: uncultured bacterium
Lineage: Bacteria
Description: bacterial SSU rRNA
Rfam family: Bacterial small subunit ribosomal RNA
Source: RNAcentral